RNAcentral lists this ribosomal RNA (383 nucleotides) under uncultured bacterium. RNAcentral's name for it is "bacterial SSU rRNA". It matches the Rfam family "Bacterial small subunit ribosomal RNA", at positions 28 to 416 of the family's 1533-position model. The record is from RNAcentral.
GAUGAACGCUGGCGGCAGGCCUAACACAUGCAAGUCGAGCGGUUGAGGUAGCUUGCUACCGAUGCAGCGGCGGACGGGUGAGUAAUACAUGGGAAUCUGCCUGGUAGUGGGGGACAACGUUUCGAAAGGAACGCUAAUACCGCAUACGCCCUACGGGGAAAGGGGGGAGUCUUCGGACCUCUCGCUAUCAGAUGAGCCCAUGUCGGAUUAGCUUGUUGGUGAGGUAAAGGCUCACCAAGCCGACGAUCUGUAGCUGGUCUGAGAGGACGACCAGCCACACUGGGACUGAGACACGGCCCAGACUCCUACGGGAGGCAGCAGUGGGGAAUUUUGGACAAUGGGCGCAAGCCUGAUCCAGCAAUGCCGCGUGCAGGAUGAAGGCC